RNAcentral lists this small RNA (82 nucleotides) under Flavobacterium sp. 103. Its description in RNAcentral is "Flavo-1 RNA". It matches the Rfam family "Flavo-1 RNA". Lineage: Bacteria; Pseudomonadati; Bacteroidota; Flavobacteriia; Flavobacteriales; Flavobacteriaceae. The record is from RNAcentral.
AUUUAGCCCCGAUAGAAGUGAAAAUCCUUUUUGUCUCGUUUUUUUCGAGACAAAAAGAUUGCAGCGAAUAGCGGGAUUAGCU